AAUAAUUGGGUAUAUCGGAGCUUAAUUAUUACCUUUCACUAUAUAAUAUACGUAGUAAUUUUACAAAAAGAAAUUUGAGAACUAGAAAAAGACAUAUUAGUAACUAACUAACGGGAAGGUCGUAAAAAAUGGAUCAAGAAUUGGAAACAGUAUAUAAAUCCAAGCCCUAGGCCACUACGUGGAUAUAAGAUGCCUUCCUCCUGACUGUCUUGUCUGAAAAGAAUGUGUUCUUCCUUACAAUUAUAUUCAUCUUCGUAUGAUUUAAUCGAC
This 270-nucleotide long non-coding RNA is filed under the name Solanum tuberosum (potato). Its description in RNAcentral is "long non-coding RNA (STUB_LNC006483)". Lineage: Eukaryota; Viridiplantae; Streptophyta; Magnoliopsida; Solanales; Solanaceae. The record is from RNAcentral.